GACGAGGUAGCUCAAUUGGACAGAGCAAUGAGAAUAUUAGUCAUGUUUGUGACUAUAACAGCAAUUUACUCCAUUACAAGGCAUAGGUUGGUGGUUCGAAUCCAUCCCUCGUCA
This 114-nucleotide transfer RNA is filed under the name Anaerobutyricum soehngenii. RNAcentral describes it as "tRNA-Val". It matches the Rfam family "tRNA". From Rfam's summary of the family: Transfer RNA (tRNA) molecules are approximately 80 nucleotides in length. The record is from RNAcentral. Lineage: Bacteria; Bacillati; Bacillota; Clostridia; Lachnospirales; Lachnospiraceae. RNAcentral also lists the same sequence under 2 other names.